AGGAAAGUAUUUUAAUAAAAAAAUCUAAUCUGCAAUUAGAAAUUGACUUCCCCCCCCCCUUUCCUC
Molecule: transfer RNA, 66 nt
Filed under: Allothyrus sp. LamingtonNP-QMS95173
Lineage: Eukaryota; Metazoa; Arthropoda; Arachnida; Holothyrida; Allothyridae
Description: tRNA-Ala
Source: RNAcentral